This 487-nucleotide ribosomal RNA is filed under the name Enterococcus faecalis. RNAcentral describes it as "bacterial SSU rRNA". It matches the Rfam family "Bacterial small subunit ribosomal RNA", at positions 28 to 487 of the family's 1533-position model. The record is from RNAcentral. Lineage: Bacteria; Bacillati; Bacillota; Bacilli; Lactobacillales; Enterococcaceae.
GACGAACGCUGGCGGCGUGCCUAAUACAUGCAAGUCGAACGCUUCUUUCCUCCCAAGUGCUUGCACUCAAUUGGAAAGAGGAGUGGCGGACGGGUGAGUAACACGUGGGUAACCUACCCAUCAGAGGGGGAUAACACUUGGAAACAGGUGCUAAUACCGCAUAACAGUUUAUGCCGCAUGGCAUAAGAGUGAAAGGCGCUUUCGGGUGUCGCUGAUGGAUGGACCCGCGGUGCAUUAGCUAGUUGGUGAGGUAACGGCUCACCAAGGCCACGAUGCAUAGCCGACCUGAGAGGGUGAUCGGCCACACUGGGACUGAGACACGGCCCAGACUCCUACGGGAGGCAGCAGUAGGGAAUCUUCGGCAAUGGACGAAAGUCUGACCGAGCAACGCCGCGUGAGUGAAGAAGGUUUUCGGAUCGUAAAACUCUGUUGUUAGAGAAGAACAAGGACGUUAGUAACUGAACGUCCCCUGACGUAUCUAACCAGA